Molecule: long non-coding RNA, 1262 nt
Organism: Harmonia axyridis
Lineage: Eukaryota; Metazoa; Arthropoda; Insecta; Coleoptera; Coccinellidae
Exons: 2
Source: RefSeq, a predicted model, not a curated record
CAGAUAUGCCUAAUGUACUACAUAGAGUACACCGCUAACAAGUCUCGUCCUGCAAAUGGUACAAUGUUUAUAUUACUAAUAUAAGCAUCCAUCCUUUCAGUACGAACCCACCUAGCGUUAGAUAAACACCUCGUUCGGAUUCAUUAGAUAUUAGUGCGCUAUUCGUGUGUUUGAAGUUGGUGAUUUCCACACGAUGGCUGACUUUGGGAUCCGUUUCGCAAGAAUCGACAUCCAAUCCAAAAAAAUUGAACUUUUUUUCGUAUAGGCGGUUAUAUUUUGGUGUACUACAUAUAGGACAUUAGGAUAAUAGGUAGCUAUCAAUGUAUUUUUAUUACGGAGGGUUUUCACUGAACGAAGCUCUGGCUAUGUUGGAAGAUAAUCCUGAAGUGGCAGCAGAUGUAGAUGAAAUAAUUUUGAUGCCUCCGGAAAGAGAAUUUUUCGCAACUGGAACUGUGAGAGAGAAUAGACUGCCAGGGAAUACAUUGAUGAAUUCCAAAAAUCUCAAAAAAGAAAUACGUGGGACAUUUGAUUACCAAAAAAUAUCGAAUCAGAACAUCAUAGCAGUGAAAUGGAAUGACAACAGCAUCGUUACAAUAUGUUCUAAUUAUGCCGGAGUGGAACCACUUCAUGUAGUCAAGAGAUAUUCUCGGAGAGAAAAAAAAAUAUUCAGGUAAAGUUUUUCUAUGAUUAGGUAUCAUCGUAUAAUUUGAUAAUUUUUCCAGGUUAUGCAACCACAUCUGAUAAAUAUAUACAACUCUAACAUGGGUGGCGUAGAUCGUUCCGACCAAAAUAUUAGUUUGUAUCGAAUUUCGCUGAGAGGGAAAAAAUGGUAUUUUCCUCUAAUAUCACACUGCAUUGAUAUGUGCGUCCAAAAUGCAUGGCAGUUGCACAAGAAGGAGGGAGGGAACUUCGACCAGCUGAACUUCAGGAGAAGGAUUGCCAUCCUAUUACUUACCCAAAACAAGAAGGAAUACACUUUCCAACAAGGUCAUUUGAGUAAAAAUUCACCACAGAUGGAAUUACGCUAUGACCGGUUGGACCAUAUUGUCUCCCCACAAGACAAGCAGACACGUUGUGGAUAUUGCCAUCAAAAAACAACUACAAGAUGAACUUGAAAUGUGAUGUAGGGGUUCAUGUAAAAUGUUUUUAUGAUUUUCACACACAAUCGAGAUCGUGAUCGUAAUAGUAGUGGAACUGCCUAAUGUCCUAUAUAUAGGACGGGCUUAUUUUUGUACUUAAAGUGAAAAAACUUCUUUUUUUUA